AACGAACGCUGGCGGCAGGCCUAACACAUGCAAGUCGAACGACAUAGUGGCAGACGGGUGAGUAACGCGUGGGAACGUACCCCAAGGUACGGAAUAGCUGUUGGAAACGACAGGUAAUACCGUAUGUUACCGGGAGGGGAAAGAUUUAUCGCCUUGGGAUCGGCCCGCGUUAGAUUAGCUUGUUGGUGAGGUAAUGGCUCACCAAGGCGACGAUCUAUAGCUGGUUUGAGAGAACGACCAGCCACACUGGGACUGAGACACGGCCCAGACUCCUACGGGAGGCGGCAGUGGGGAAUCUUGCACAAUGGGCGAAAGCCUGAUGCAGCCAUGCCGCGUGAAUGAUGAAGGCCUUAGGGUUGUAAAAUUCCUUCACCAGGGAAGAUAAUGACUGUACCUGGAGAAGAAGCCCCGGCUAACUUCGUGCCAGCAGCCGCCGUAA
RNAcentral lists this ribosomal RNA (439 nucleotides) under uncultured bacterium. RNAcentral's name for it is "partial 16S ribosomal RNA". It matches the Rfam family "Bacterial small subunit ribosomal RNA", at positions 29 to 523 of the family's 1533-position model. The record is from RNAcentral.